AAUUCUCAAAGCAAGGUUCACUUGUGGACCUUUGCUUUGGACUUGAAGAUUGCUGGCUUUUCAAUAGGUUAGCUUCUUUGAAAUAUAUUAGUAAGGUGGUAUCUUUCACUUGGUGUGAUAAGUUAUCUAUGCCUUGGAGAUAGAUACGGACUUGCUUAUAACCCUUACCUUUUUGAC
Molecule: unclassified non-coding RNA, 177 nt
Filed under: uncultured Tricholomataceae
Lineage: Eukaryota; Fungi; Basidiomycota; Agaricomycetes; Agaricales; Tricholomataceae
Also listed under: 1 other name
Description: sequence contains ITS2
Source: RNAcentral